RNAcentral lists this ribosomal RNA (497 nucleotides) under uncultured bacterium. RNAcentral describes it as "partial 16S ribosomal RNA". It matches the Rfam family "Bacterial small subunit ribosomal RNA", at positions 28 to 507 of the family's 1533-position model. The record is from RNAcentral.
GAUGAACGCUGGCGGCGUGCCUAAUACAUGCAAGUCGAGCGAACAGAUAAGGAGCUUGCCCCUUUGACGUUAGCGGCGGACGGGUGAGUAACACGUGGGUAACCUAUCUAUAAGACUGGAAUAACUCCGGGAAACCGGGGCUAAUGCCGGAUAACAUGUUGAACCGCAUGGUUCUACAGUGAAAGGCGGCUUUGCUGUCACUUAUAGAUGGACCCGCGCCGUAUUAGCUAGUUGGUGAGGUAACGGCUCACCAAGGCAACGAUACGUAGCCGACCUGAGAGGGUGAUCGGCCACACUGGAACUGAGACACGGUCCAGACUCCUACGGGAGGCAGCAGUAGGGAAUCUUCCGCAAUGGGCGAAAGCCUGACGGAGCAACGCCGCGUGAGUGAUGAAGGUCUUCGGAUCGUAAAACUCUGUUAUUAGGGAAGAACAAAUGCGUAAGUAACUGUGCGCGUCUUGACGGUACCUAAUCAGAAAGCCACGGCUAACUACGUG